Molecule: long non-coding RNA, 1399 nt
Organism: Herpailurus yagouaroundi (jaguarundi)
Lineage: Eukaryota; Metazoa; Chordata; Mammalia; Carnivora; Felidae
Exons: 2
Source: RefSeq, a predicted model, not a curated record
GGGUGGCUCGGGGUCCGGGCGCAGGGACCGGGACGCGCAAGGACUAGAGCGUGCGGGGACUGGGGCGGGGAGGGGGGGGGCACGGGGUCCCGGGCUCCUGUCCCGCGACGGCCGCGGGGGCGGAAGCGGGGGCUGGAGGUGCCAGGGACCAAAAACUCUUAGACGCUGAGCCUCCGCCCGCAUCCCACGAGUCUGGUGUUAAUUGGUGGCCACAUCUCCAAUCAUUACGUUAACUCCGGAUACGGUGUGGAUCCUAAACCCUUUUUUCCUCCAAGUUAUCAUCAUUGGUUAGUUGGUUUCCUUCCUUUGAGGUCGAGAAUUUAAAGAAGUCCAUUGAAGUUCCCCAUUUUGCAGUGUGGUCUUAAAGUAUUUCUUAACCCGACUACUAGGUUAACCUAACCUACCAGAGACAACGGACAGCGUGUAUACUCGGGAGUGGAGAAUUUCCGGGGUUUGCUCUCCGAGAGAUGCUUGUCAGCCACAACUGGCCAGAUGUGGCUUCGUGGAACAGGCAACGAAGACCUCACUUACAGAGCCACGUCUUGGUGCUGCCGUCGUGAAUGUAGCCGCGAGUGGCACAGCCCCCCUCCCCCGUUUGCAAGGAAGAUGAGAAGUGGAGGGGCCGGGAACCCCACACCGGAAAUAACAGGAUCCUCCCUGCGGAUCCCUCACCGCCCUUCUUCGGUCCUGCUUCCCAGAGGAUCUGGGCUGUUAGGACUAACAAUUCUCGUAGGAAGUAGGUCUAGGCUCCGUACCACGUGGCGUGAGGACGUCCAGUCGGCCCCAUCUGGUGCUGUUUUCGGGAACACGCUGCCACACCCUGGUUGCUGCAGAAAACUUUUCAUCAGGUGGAAAUCCCCCGGGGGCCACCUGAUAGCACAUUUCUACGGAGGUCUGAUCUGAAUCGUUUCUGUUCACGCCGAAGCGGACUUCAUGGUGACCGUGAGGGAACAGCUGUGUCCGUCUCGAUACUGACUGUCUUCAUUUUUAUUUGAAACACAUUCGUGUAUAUCUGUAGCACUUCCCUGGUUUUUCUCAGCGUCUCGCUAGCACAAGGGGAGGCUUUGAAUGAAUUGAUCCAAAUACCACGCUCUCCUCAGCCUUAACGGAAUCUCUUAAUCCAUGUAGUAUGAAUAUGUGAUUUUUUUUUUUCUGCCCAAAUACUCAUGCUACAUGCUCCUGAGAGCUGCUGGGUCAGUACUCGAGCCGACUCUGCGACCUCCAGGUAACCCGUGUUGGCAUCACACACCAUCCGUCUGAGAGAAUCACACGGAUUUUUAGUCAUUUAUGUCGGUGUGUGUUCUGAGUAAAAUGCAACAUACUACUGCGCUCCAAACAGGUUUUAGGUUGUACAUUUAGGAUGUUCUUGCUUCAAAUAAAGUGAAGAAACUUAAAAUAA